RNAcentral lists this transfer RNA (67 nucleotides) under Marmota marmota marmota (Alpine marmot). It matches the Rfam family "tRNA". Rfam says of the family: Transfer RNA (tRNA) molecules are approximately 80 nucleotides in length. Their secondary structure includes four short double-helical elements and three loops (D, anti-codon, and T loops). The record is from Rfam by way of RNAcentral. Lineage: Eukaryota; Metazoa; Chordata; Mammalia; Rodentia; Sciuridae. RNAcentral also lists the same sequence under 2 other names.
UGCAGCUCAGUGGUAGAGGACUUGCCUAGCAUGCAUAAGGCCCUGGGUUCAAUUCCCAGCACUGCAA